GUUACAAUGGCGACUACAGCGGGAAGCCACUUGGCGACAAGGAGCGGAACCCGAAAACCGGUCUCAGUUCGGAUCGGAGUCUGCAACCCGACUCCGUGAAGCUGGAUUCGCUAGUAAUCGCGCAUCAGCCAUGGCGCGGUGAAUACGUUCCCGGGCCUUGUACACACCGCCCGUCAAGCCAUGGGAGCCGGGGGUGCUUGAAGUGCGUCGCCGCGAGGCGCGCCCUAGAGCAAAACCGGUGACUGGGGCUAAGUCGUAACAAGGUACC
Molecule: ribosomal RNA, 268 nt
Filed under: uncultured bacterium
Lineage: Bacteria
Description: partial 16S ribosomal RNA
Rfam family: Bacterial small subunit ribosomal RNA
Source: RNAcentral